GGCGCCGUUUACAGCGCCGUCGCAGGCCGAGUGACGAAGGGCGCGCCGAGUGACGACAUUCUAAAUUUAAUUCUAAAUUACUUUAAAUUUGAAUUAAUUUAAAUUUAAUUCUAAAUUAUAUACCGGAAACGUGGGAGAUUACAAGGGGUCAAAAAUAAAUAAAUGGAUGUAUCCUGCCAUAUUGGAAGCAAAAAAACUUGUCUUGAUGAAUUGGAAGAGCUGCAAAAAGAUCCCAUUGAGCACAUGGAUUGACAAUGUGGCCAGACUAGUUACCUACGAACGAAUUGCAUAUCGACACAAAUUAAGAAUGGAUAAACAUGAAGAAAUCUGGAAGGAAUACUUAAGUGAUAAGGCGGACAGUGGUGGAAGUAGGGGGAGGAGAGGUGGGGAAAUAUUGUUAACAAGGUGUAGUUAUAGGUGUAUCAGUACUCAAAUCUGAAUUGUUAAAUUGUGUUAUUAGUGUUAUUGUGGUUUUGUUGUAUAUUUUGUUGUUGUUUGUAUUGAAAAAAUGAUUAAAUUAUUAUUAUUUUUUUAAAAAAAGAAAUUCUCUCUUUCUUUCAAGAAAAGGAAAACGUUUCCAUUUCGACCGCACUUCCGGCCCCUGUCAGAGCCGGUCUGGAACCUGG
Non-coding RNA from Podarcis lilfordi (Lilford's wall lizard), 626 nucleotides. NCBI's taxonomy places the organism in Eukaryota, Metazoa, Chordata, Lepidosauria, Squamata, Lacertidae. The record is from the annotation of a GenBank genome assembly.